AACAAAACUAUUCGCCAGGGAACUACUAGCUAAUGCUUAAAACUCAAAGGACUUGGCGGUGCCUAAACCCACCUAGAGGAGCCUGUUCUAUAAUCGAUAAACCCCGAUAAACCCCACCUCUUCUUGCCAAUACAGCCUAUAUACCGCCAUCGUCAGCUCACCGCAAUAGGGACCCAAGUAGGCAAAACUAUAAAACCAUAAAAACGUUAGGUCAAGGUGUAGCAUAUGAAGAGGGAAGCAAUGGGCUACAUUUUCUAAACUAGAACAUAACGAAUGGCCUUAUGAAAUCUAAGACCUGAAGGAGGAUUUAAUAGUAAAUUAGGAGUAGAGAGCCUAAUUGA
This 341-nucleotide ribosomal RNA is filed under the name Dromiciops gliroides (monito del monte). Its description in RNAcentral is "partial 12S ribosomal RNA". It matches the Rfam family "Bacterial small subunit ribosomal RNA", at positions 858 to 1365 of the family's 1533-position model. Lineage: Eukaryota; Metazoa; Chordata; Mammalia; Microbiotheria; Microbiotheriidae. The record is from RNAcentral.